Nicotiana tabacum (common tobacco) is the source of this 873-nucleotide non-coding RNA. NCBI's taxonomy places the organism in Eukaryota, Viridiplantae, Streptophyta, Magnoliopsida, Solanales, Solanaceae. The record is from RefSeq and is a predicted model, not a curated record.
GUUUAUGCAUUAUAUGUAAAGGUAAUUCAAGAUUCAAAAUGAAGCUGAAGACAGUCUGGAGGAAAGUAUCUGAUUAUGUUCGAUAUGAUUUGAAGGAGAUUGCUUUUCCUUCAUCUUUACCGGACCCUCCCCACUUCAAAAAACGCAGGAAACUAUCUUUGAAGGAGCGCUAUCUUGUGCUGAAGGAAGCAUCUAGACUUUAUGCUGCAAGUAGGGUUAGGGACAUUGGUCCAGAACUUCGGCCCAAUGAUUACAAAAAGAAGCGUGAGAUUCUCGUGGACGAAGAAUAUGGUAGCAGAAAGCAUAAGGAACCGUCAACAUUAGAGGAUCUAGCUGUGGCUGCAAGAGGCGGAAUGGAGACACUACGACCAGCACUGCAACGAGUCUACAUGACAAGAGCUUCUGCAUAUAAAGAUGCACUUAAAAGUUUCAUACAAGGAUAUCAAGAAGGUAUUCAACAAACCAUGGAGAAAAUUAAAGACUCGAAAUCUUCUGAAGACACUGAUGCAUCCAGUUCCAAAGGACCAACUUGAGUUCCAACGGAAAAUUUGAGCACCAGAUUUCGUGAGACUCCUAUGUCAAAAGUCAAUGGUGGUAAUCUUCCAGUCUUCAUUCUUAAUUACUGGUUGAUUUUGACAGAGGCGUGGAACUAAAAGUAGGGAGGAGAAAAUAGCUCACUACAAGUUCCAAAACAGCUUACUUGAUUUCAAAUAGUAGCAAAUUUGAUUUCUAUGACGAAAGAAAUUACUUGUUCAACUAGACUACUUAUAAAUUGUGAGAUAUUUAUAUAUGUUAUGAAUAAAAUUGUAAUCAGAGUGAAUGUCUUUUGUAGAGAAUUUUACUUUGUGGUUAAGUUAUUUUUUUCCUAUAAAU